Papaver somniferum (opium poppy) is the source of this 1955-nucleotide long non-coding RNA. RefSeq lists it as uncharacterized. The transcript is spliced from 2 exons. The record is from RefSeq and is a predicted model, not a curated record. NCBI's taxonomy places the organism in Eukaryota, Viridiplantae, Streptophyta, Magnoliopsida, Ranunculales, Papaveraceae.
UCUUUUUCUUUGUAAACUCUUUGUAAACCUAAUUAUCAAGUUAUGAUUGAUAUUGAUUUCUUUCUCUUCGUUGUUGAAAUUGCAGGAAACAAUACACGGAUGUGCAGAGAUAUGAGAGAGAGAAUCCAAGAGGAAAUAUAAAGAUUUCAGGAUCAACAUGGAUAUACAUCUAGCGUUUUUUUUUGUUCUCCUUUUCUUUCUGUGUUGAUUUUCGAUUUUUUACAGAUGAGGAGUUAUACUUGCGCUGAUUUAACACCAAACCCUAAACUCCGAUAACCUCCAUUGAUUAUGCAGUCGAAUUUUUACAGUUAUAUUUUGAUUUUUCAGAUAAAGGGUUUAAUAGUUCGAAACAGGUAUGAACUAACAGUUUCAUAAUAGCUUUUGGUUGAUUCUUUUCUUUGCUUUGAUUAAACAAGUGGUAAAAUCAGUUUUCUUUUUAUGUUUUAUUUGAAAUUACAAAAACAUAGAUUAGCGUUUGCUCCUUUUCUCUUUUUCGUGAUGAAGGGUUUACAGUUAAAAACAGGUGUGCCAACUUGCUUGGUAAAAUCAAAAUACAUCCUCUUCCAUUUUUUUAGAUUGGAUUUUGAAUUUUGAAUUUGUAAUCUUUUCUUUGAUUACAGAGGUAAGUUCCUAUGCAAAUUCAAUUUGAUAAAUUAAUAUAUCAAAAAUCCAAUUAAAUGUUAUCAGUGGUUUAGUAAUCUCUUCUUUGAUUUGGCUCUCUUCUCAAAUCUAUCUUUUUACUUUUUGUGCAUGUUGUUUUUUCUUAAAUCUUCUCUGAUUUGUUUUUAGUUUUUCCAGUUCUUAAAAACGAGCAGGAACUCUCUUUUGGUAAUGUUUCUUAUAGGUGUGGGUAGCAUAUAACUUACAAGGUAUAUUGCAUACUCGACAAUAUAGGUUAGUAAGCUAAUCAGGUUACUCAUCACCUAAUCUUAUGUGAACUAGGAGCAUCCAGUAAAGUUGAUGCCCUUAAAAGUACCUUAAACGUGAGGUUGACGUUGAUCCCUAAGAUGAUUUUGAAGCAGCAUUCAAGGUUACUUUAGUUAAAUGUUGUAAUUUGUUAUUUAUAUUAACUAAUAUGAUCUUUUGAUGCUAAUUAAGAGAAUUGACAUCUGAUAUCUAAUGUGUUACAUGUUUAAGCAUAAAGAUGUGGGUUUCUUACAGUAAACCAACUAGAGAUUUUGUUGUUUUAUUGGAUUUUGUUUGUAUGACCUAGAGAGAAAGGAAAACAAGUUAUUAAUGUAAAGCUCAUGACCAGGGAUUCAGCAGUGUGGUGUGCUAACGGGCUUGGUUGUGGUUUUUCAAGCCGAGCCAAACAUAUAAAGGUUUACAGGUAUUGGAAUGUUCAUGGAAUUCUAUGGCUAUGAGCGUUUGGUUCAAAGCAUUUCAAUUGUGUAGUAUUUGAACUAUAUUAUCAUCUUAAAACUAUAUUAGAAGCACAUCUUUUGCUGGUGUCAUUUACCUUGGCUACUGCUGUUAAUCCUAGCUUUUUAAUUGUUCAUGGAUAUUAGAGUUGGCUGUAGUUGCUAGGUAAAGUUGAAUCAGUGCGGACCAGGAUGUUAGCUGACUACAAAAUUCUCAAGUUUCGCCGAGAUUAAAUUGGUAGCGAGAAUCAAGACACUGUGAUUCUGAAAACUCCAAUAUAGGAUGUCAUUGCCGGUGCAUAACAUUGCAUCUUGGUUGCUCAUAUUAAAUCCGUGAACCUCCUAAUGUAAUGUUUGAGUACCAGGACCCAACGAGAACGGAAAGAAAUUUCUUAAAGCGCAUGACCGGAUUCAGUAUUGCCGAGUGCUUACUCGAAUGGUGCUUGAAUUUGAGAGCUCUUUAUUUUCCAUUUUUUUUAGCAUAUUUUUCUUCCUAUAUAUAUUAGACAAAUAGAGAAAUUUAGUAUGAUGGGCAAGUAAAUAGAGGUGAAUAAUUGAUAUCAUCCAGCCAAAGUAAAUAAUUGACUUUCGAUA